This is a long non-coding RNA of Amblyraja radiata (thorny skate), 1393 nucleotides long. RefSeq lists it as uncharacterized. The record is from RefSeq and is a predicted model, not a curated record. The transcript is spliced from 5 exons. NCBI's taxonomy places the organism in Eukaryota, Metazoa, Chordata, Chondrichthyes, Rajiformes, Rajidae.
CGGAAGGAGAAAAAAAUCUUCAGCAAAUUCUUCAAAGUCACAAUUGUCAGCACUGCCAAUCAUGUCGCCACAAUCGGGGUGAUGUCGGUCUGAAGAGAAGAGACUGAGCUGCACUUCAACCACAGCGAGUACCACACCGCUAAGUGGAUACUUUCAAGGGAAAAGAGGUCGCAUUUCAACCCAAACUUCCUGAAGGAGAAAAAAAUCUUCAGCAAAUUCUUCAAAGUCACAAUUGUCGGCUCUGCCAAUCAAGUCGCCACAAUCGGGGUGAUGUUGGUCUGAAGAGAAGAGACUGAGCUGCACGUCAACCACAGCGAGUACCACACCGCUAAGUGGAUACUUUCAAGGGAAAAGAGGACGCAUUUCAACCCAACUUCCGGAAGGAGAAAAAAAUCUUCAGCAAAUUCUUCAAAGUCACAAUUGUCAGCACUGCCAAUCAUGUCGCCACAAUCGGGGUGAUGUCGGUCUGAAGAGAAGAGACUGAGCUGCACUUCAACCACAGCGAGUACCACACCGCUAAGUGGAUACUUUCAAGGGAAAAGAGGUCGCAUUUCAACCCAAACUUCCUGAAGGAGAAAAAAAUCUUCAGCAAAUUCUUCAAAGUCACAAUUGUCGGCUCUGCCAAUCAAGUCGCCACAAUCGGGGUGAUGUCGGUCUGAAGAGAAGAGACUGAGCUGCACGUCAACCACAGCGAGUACCACACCGCUAAGAUGAAUGCAAGCAACAGGAUAUCUGAACAGAGGAUGCAACCGGAACAUGGAUUUCUUCCCCUCCCCUUUCCUUUGAUUAACUUUCCGAAUUCCAAUCAGUACCUGAAGAAUUACUGCAGUCAUGUGACAUUCUAUGUUAACGGUGAUAUCUACGGAUAUGAACAGCAGUUCAUUUACAAUGUACUUUCUGGUCAUAUCGCCGGCCGACAUUACCCUGCUUCAGUGCCGGACUGGCGAAGAGAGGGGUGUCAAUUCGCCUGUCGAUCCACAAGUCCAAAGGGCUUGCCUGGAUUGGGGCAAUGCCCAUAAGAUCUAGGGCGCAGACAGGACUUUGCAAAAAGGGCCAAAACCUGGCACCUCUUACGUGCGGCGGGCUCAGUAGACUAUUUCUGUGCACUUUGCUAAUUGGGAAUUGUGCUUGUAUAUGGACUGUAUGAAAGAAACUGUAUGCAGCUUUCCAAAUUCCAAUCAGCACCUGGAGAAUUAUUACAGAGGUGUGAUAUCCUAUGUUAGCGCUGACGCCUUGAGAUGUGAACUGUAAUUCACAAAUAACUUACUUUCUGUUCAGAUUGCCACCCUGCAUUAUUCUGACUUCAUUGAGUGCUGGCAGUAGUGACAUUGAACAAUUGUGCUGAAGUAUCAUUUUUAAGCUUUUUGUCAUUAAAAUCUUCCGGUCUAAAUCC